Cinara cedri is the source of this 530-nucleotide non-coding RNA. The record is from the annotation of a GenBank genome assembly. Lineage: Eukaryota; Metazoa; Arthropoda; Insecta; Hemiptera; Aphididae.
UUAAAAUAUUUUACAAGUGAAUUACAAAAGUUUUAUAAACUAUUAUGCCCAUCAAUAUCCAUUUUUGACAUUUUAUUUAUCUUAUACAAAUACGCACCAGCUAGGUACCUACGAUGUACGGUUUUAAAUAAUAAAUGUUGGAUUUAGAAAAGUCUUAAAAGAAAAAAAUUAUUUCUUAUUUAAAAAUUAAAUGUACCUACGCACAAAAAUAAAUAAACUAGUUUAACUUUAUAUCCUUAUUGUUAUUUUAACUACAGUGACAUUUUUAUUCACAAAGAGUAAAAAAUUUUAUAUUUAAAAUUAGUAUUAAGCAAAUAUUAUUGUCAGUUAAUCUAAUCAAAUUGUAAAUUCUAUCGAGUUUUUUGUGGAAAACAUAAUAUAUAAUAAUUAAUGAUAUAGGUAGCUGUUAUAGGCAUUGUUUUAAGAAUAUUUUGAAAUGUAUCUAUAUUAUUAUCAGUAAAACACUGAACACAUCGUUGAAAUAACACGUGAGAAAAUGUUAUGUAACUUAGUCCAUCUGAUAAAUAUUG